GGGUCAGUAGGUUGGUCGUGCCACCGGUACGUACUGGUCUCAUUGAUUCCUCCUUCCUGAAGAACCGUAAUGCCAUUAAUUUGGUGUUGCGGGGAAACAGGACUGUUACUUUGAAAAAAUUAGAGUGUUUAAAGCAGGCUAACGCUUGAAUACAUUAGCAUGGAAUAAUGAAAUAGGACGAUCGAUCCUAUUUUGUUGGUUUCUAGGAUUGACGUA
This 216-nucleotide ribosomal RNA is filed under the name Glomeromycotina sp. RNAcentral describes it as "partial small subunit ribosomal RNA". The stretch from base 40 to 216 matches the Rfam family "Eukaryotic small subunit ribosomal RNA", at positions 686 to 864 of the family's 1831-position model. The record is from RNAcentral. Lineage: Eukaryota; Fungi; Glomeromycota.